RNAcentral lists this ribosomal RNA (497 nucleotides) under uncultured bacterium. RNAcentral's name for it is "partial 16S ribosomal RNA". It matches the Rfam family "Bacterial small subunit ribosomal RNA", at positions 28 to 507 of the family's 1533-position model. The record is from RNAcentral.
GAUGAACGCUGGCGGCGUGCCUAAUACAUGCAAGUCGAGCGAACAGACGAGGAGCUUGCUCCUCUGACGUUAGCGGCGGACGGGUGAGUAACACGUGGAUAACCUACCUAUAAGACUGGGAUAACUUCGGGAAACCGGAGCUAAUACCGGAUAAUAUAUUGAACCGCAUGGUUCAAUAGUGAAAGACGGUUUUGCUGUCACUUAUAGAUGGAUCCGCGCCGCAUUAGCUAGUUGGUAAGGUAACGGCUUACCAAGGCAACGAUGCGUAGCCGACCUGAGAGGGUGAUCGGCCACACUGGAACUGAGAAACGGUCCCGACUCCGACGGGGGGCAGCAGUAGGGAAUCUUCCGCAAUGGGCGAGAGCCUGACGGAGCAACGCCGCGGGAGUGAUGAAGGUCUUCGGAUCGGAAAACUCUGUUAGUAGGGAAGAACAAAUGUGUAAGUAACUAUGCACGUCUUGACGGUACCGAAUCAGAAAGCCACGGCUAACUACGUG